This 239-nucleotide unclassified non-coding RNA is filed under the name Hevea brasiliensis (rubber tree). Lineage: Eukaryota; Viridiplantae; Streptophyta; Magnoliopsida; Malpighiales; Euphorbiaceae. The record is from RNAcentral.
UCAGCUGAUCCAACCACUGCUUCUCAGCUAGUUGCCAAACAACCAGCUUUUUUUACUGGAUCAGAGGUUAGGAUAAUUGAUGAUGAUAUUCCUUUGGCACAAUUUGCGGUUGCUUUUGAAGGAGCAUCCUGGACAGAUCCAGAUUCUAUUGCUCUAAUGGUCAUGCAAGCUAUGCUGGGCUCAUGGAAUAAAAAUACUGGAGGUGGAAAACACAUGGGUUCUGAGCUUGCACAAAGGGU